AAAAAACUGUUUCAAACCUAAAGAAGAAAUUCUGCAAGUUAAAUUGUCAAAGUACCUAAAUCAAGUUAUUGAGACACUAAAAGACUAAGUCACCAGUUUCAAAUGAACCAAUCGACACUCAACAGCAGUUGGAAGCAACAUAUACCAAGUGGAUGGUUGUUAGUCUCGACCCUGCACAAAAUACAACUCAGCAGCGCCUGCUUGGCCUUGGUCUGCUUCACCAUGACAACUUUCAGGACAAUACCCCAUCAAACAAGCCAAUCCAUAGUAAGAUACCUUUCUUUACUAACAUCUCCAGCACCCAGGCCGUAUUUAUCUCCGAGUGGGCUGUUCAUCACAUUCAGUACUCAGGCCUCUCCUCCUGUACAACACAAGG
This 376-nucleotide unclassified non-coding RNA is filed under the name Hevea brasiliensis (rubber tree). The record is from RNAcentral. Lineage: Eukaryota; Viridiplantae; Streptophyta; Magnoliopsida; Malpighiales; Euphorbiaceae.